RNAcentral lists this non-coding RNA (28 nucleotides) under Homo sapiens (human). Lineage: Eukaryota; Metazoa; Chordata; Mammalia; Primates; Hominidae. The record is from RNAcentral.
UGAAAUGCAGAUGUCAACAACCUUUGGG